Phacochoerus africanus (Common warthog) is the source of this 296-nucleotide long non-coding RNA. RefSeq lists it as uncharacterized. The transcript is spliced from 2 exons. Lineage: Eukaryota; Metazoa; Chordata; Mammalia; Artiodactyla; Suidae. The record is from RefSeq and is a predicted model, not a curated record.
CAAUGACAAUGUGCUCACUGAUCUUCUGACCUCUUUCCACUGUGGAGACAAGAUGUAUUCCAUAUGCACAAGGGGAGACCACCACGUGAAGAUGAAGGCCGAGACUGGCAGAGGUGUUGAUGGCAGAGAUUCCUACAAGCCAAGGAAUGCCAAAGAUGGCCAGCAAACCAUCAGAAGCUGGGAAGAGGCACAGACUAGACUGUUCCUUACAACAUUCAGAAGGAACUAACGCACCUGACACCUCGAUCUCACACUUCUGGCCUCCAGAAAUGAGACAAUAAAUUUCUGUUAUUAAA